Molecule: ribosomal RNA, 431 nt
Filed under: uncultured bacterium
Lineage: Bacteria
Description: bacterial SSU rRNA
Rfam family: Bacterial small subunit ribosomal RNA
Source: RNAcentral
ACGAACGCUGGCGGCAGGCUUAACACAUGCAAGUCGAACGAUGUAGCAAUACAUAGUGGCGCACGGGUGAGUAACGCGUGGGAACGUGCCUUUUGGUUUGGAAUAACGUCGGGAAACUGACGCUAAUACCAAAUACGCCCUCCGGGGGAAAGAUUUAUCGCCAAAAGAUCGGCCCGCGUUAGAUUAGGUAGUUGGUGGGGUAAUGGCCUACCAAGCCUACGAUCUAUAGCUGGUCUGAGAGGAUGACCAGCCACACUGGAACUGAGACACGGUCCAGACUCCUACGGGAGGCAGCAGUGGGGAAUAUUGGACAAUGGGGGAAACCCUGAUCCAGCCAUGCCGCGUGAAUGAUGAAGGCCUUAGGGUUGUAAAGUUCUUUUGUCAGGGAAGAUGAUGACGGUACCUGAAGAAUAAGCACCGGCUAACUUCGU